RNAcentral lists this RNase P RNA (398 nucleotides) under Desulfuromusa kysingii. Its description in RNAcentral is "Bacterial RNase P class A". It matches the Rfam family "Bacterial RNase P class A". From Rfam's summary of the family: Ribonuclease P (RNase P) is a ubiquitous endoribonuclease, found in archaea, bacteria and eukarya as well as chloroplasts and mitochondria. Its best characterised activity is the generation of mature 5'-ends of tRNAs by cleaving the 5'-leader elements of precursor-tRNAs. The record is from Rfam by way of RNAcentral. Lineage: Bacteria; Pseudomonadati; Thermodesulfobacteriota; Desulfuromonadia; Desulfuromonadales; Geopsychrobacteraceae.
AAAGAAGGACAGGUGAUCGCCGUCUGUCGUAGCAUUAGCUGCGUUGGAGGGAGGAAAGUCCGGGCUCCACAGGACAGGAUGGUUCCUAACGGGAACCGAGGGUAACCUCAGGGAAAGUGCCACAGAGAGGAGACCGUCUACACCAGCCUUCGGGCGCAGUGUGGAUAAGGGUGAAAGGGUGAGGUAAGAGCUCACCAGUUCUGGCGGUGACGUCAGAAGCUCGGUAAACCCCAUCCGGAGCAAGGUCGAAUAGGGGAACGUUUGAGGGUUGUCCGCCCAAAGUUCCCGGGUCUGGCUGCUGGAGACCGUUGGCAACGACGGUCCUAGAUGAAUGAUCACUGUCCCGUUGCGGGUAACUUCAGCGGGAAACAGAACCCGGCUUACGUACUUCUUUGGCC